CAUUACCGAGUGAGGGCCCUCUGGGUCCAACCUCCCACCCAUGUUUAUUGUACCUUGUUGCUUCGGCGGGCCCGCCUCACGGCCGCCGGGGGGCUUCUGCCCUCUGGCCCGCGCCCGCCGAAGACACCAUUGAACACUGUCUGAAGAUUGCAGUCUGAGCAAUUAGCUAAAUAAGUUAAAACUUUCAACAACGGAUCUCUUGGUUCCGGCAUCGAUGAAGAACGCAGCGAAAUGCGAUACGUAAUGUGAAUUGCAGAAUUCAGUGAAUCAUCGAGUCUUUGAACGCACAUUGCGCCCCUUGGUAUUCCGGGGGGCAUGCCUGUCCGAGCGUCAUUGCUGCCCUCAAGCACGGCUUGUGUGUUGGGCCCCGUCCUCCUUCCCGGGGGACGGGCCCGAAAGGCAGCGGCGGCACCGCGUCCGGUCCUCGAGCGUAUGGGGCUUUGUCACCCGCUCUUGUAGGCCCGGCCGGCGCUUGCCGACAACCAUCAAUCUUUUUUCAGGUUGACCUCGGAUCAGGUAGGGAUACCCGCUGAACUUAAGCAUAUCAAUAAGC
RNAcentral lists this ribosomal RNA (553 nucleotides) under Penicillium corylophilum. RNAcentral describes it as "eukaryotic LSU rRNA". The stretch from base 180 to 333 matches the Rfam family "5.8S ribosomal RNA". Lineage: Eukaryota; Fungi; Ascomycota; Eurotiomycetes; Eurotiales; Aspergillaceae. The record is from RNAcentral.